RNAcentral lists this transfer RNA (93 nucleotides) under Eutypa lata. RNAcentral's name for it is "tRNA-Arg". It matches the Rfam family "tRNA". From Rfam's summary of the family: Transfer RNA (tRNA) molecules are approximately 80 nucleotides in length. Their secondary structure includes four short double-helical elements and three loops (D, anti-codon, and T loops). The record is from RNAcentral. Lineage: Eukaryota; Fungi; Ascomycota; Sordariomycetes; Xylariales; Diatrypaceae. RNAcentral also lists the same sequence under 1 other name.
ACCGGCUUAGAGCAGUGGUAGCUCGCUGGCCUCCGAUUUAUUUACACAAAUCAUCUAAGCCAGAAGUCGGCGGUUCGAAUCCGUCAGUCGGUU